CUUGAAAAUUGAUAAACUAAUAUCAUCUUACUUUUAAAUUAUACAUAAACCUAGUGUACAGUAAACACUGAACUAUAUUAUCUCAAUUUCAGGUUUUUCCGACAUCAUUAUUUGUGAAGGUCAGUCAGCAUAUAUUCACUGCAAAUGGCCAAAACAUCGCAUCCAAAUUUACCAAGCAAUCUACGAUCGAACCACUGGGAGAAUUGUUUGUCCACACCCCGCUAUUAAGACUCAUAAUUGUAGAUCUUCAGUAUCGAACAGAAAAGUAAAAUUGCAGUGCAAUGGGAGAAGUCUGUGUAAAUUAGAAUCUAAUAAUCACCAGUUUGGAGAUCAAUGUUAUGGCACCUACAAGUACUUGGAAGUAAAAUACAAUUGUAAAUAAAUAAAUUAUGUGAAAAUGUGGGCCUU
Molecule: long non-coding RNA, 408 nt
Filed under: Mytilus galloprovincialis (Mediterranean mussel)
Lineage: Eukaryota; Metazoa; Mollusca; Bivalvia; Mytilida; Mytilidae
Source: RNAcentral